CUUAGGAGAGAGGUUAGGAGCUUAGGAGAGAUGUUAGGACAUAGGUUAGUUGAGAGCUUAGGAGAGAGCUUAGGAGAGAGGUUAGGAGAGAGGUUAGGAGAGAUGUUAGGAGAGAUGUUAAGAGAGAUGUUAGGAGAGAUGUUAGGAGAGAUGUUAGGACAUAGGUUAGGAGAGAGGUUUGGAGAGAGGGGACAAUUAACCAGCUUGAGGAGUGGGUAAAAUGUGCUGUGUUGUCAGAGGCUGCUUACUAAUAUGUAAUCCUAGUAAAUUGUGUUUCCAUAAUGUAUUAGUUGUGUGGCGUGCAUAUUUAUGCAUCAAGA
Molecule: long non-coding RNA, 320 nt
Organism: Esox lucius (northern pike)
Lineage: Eukaryota; Metazoa; Chordata; Actinopteri; Esociformes; Esocidae
Source: Ensembl